UACGGAGGGGGCUAGCGUUGUUCGGAAUUACUGGGCGUAAAGCGCACGUAGGCGGCUUUGUAAGUUAGAGGUGAAAGCCCGGGGCUCAACUCCGGAAUUGCCUUUAAGACUGCAUCGCUAGAAUUGUGGAGAGGUAAGUGGAAUUCCGAGUGUAGAGGUGAAAUCGUAGAUAUCGCAAGAACACAGUGGCGAAGGCGGCUCACUGGCCCGGUACUGACGCUGAGGUGCGAAAGCGUGGGGAGCAAACAGG
RNAcentral lists this ribosomal RNA (250 nucleotides) under uncultured bacterium. RNAcentral describes it as "partial 16S ribosomal RNA". It matches the Rfam family "Bacterial small subunit ribosomal RNA", at positions 524 to 776 of the family's 1533-position model. The record is from RNAcentral.